Long non-coding RNA from Coregonus clupeaformis (lake whitefish), 610 nucleotides. RefSeq lists it as uncharacterized. Lineage: Eukaryota; Metazoa; Chordata; Actinopteri; Salmoniformes; Salmonidae. The record is from RefSeq and is a predicted model, not a curated record. The transcript is spliced from 2 exons.
CGACAAACUAGAUGGAUAGUCUCCUUCCUGAUGACCUGCUGACCAUCAAAGUAACCAUGCAGAUACAUCAGAUUGUCUCUACAAGACCGGAGGAGAUUUCUUGGCGAGUUCUCAGCUGCUUUUGUGCAGAUCCCCAUCCUUGCCAGUGUUUUGGUCUCAAAAAAGUCAACAUACUGGGAGCACAGAACAUGGAGACUGCAUUGGGAUCACCAAGUUCAAGCACACUUACCAGCACAUCUCAACCCAUCAUAGACCUGCAUGAGGGACUGAUUGGAAGUUGGUGUGUGGUACGGUAUGAUGGGGGAUCCUUACCCUGGCAUUAUACAGGAUGUGGACCCUGAGGGUUGUGCUCUGGUGAGAACCAUGAGUCAUAUUGGCAAAAACAAGUUCUUCUGGCCUAUGAGAGACGAUGUUAUUUGGUACUGGCCAGAAGAUGUGAUCAGGCUGGUCCCAGAGCCUCAACCAGUAACAAAGAGGCAUGUGAUGGUGGAGCCAACAGUUUGGAAAGAAAUAUGCUCUGUUCUUGACCAUGAAACAUAACUGAACCUCUGGCCCAUAUGCAAGUUUGACAGAUACAGUAUUUAGCAAAUACAAUGUCUAUUUAGUCAGA